Molecule: small nucleolar RNA, 126 nt
Filed under: Carlito syrichta (Philippine tarsier)
Lineage: Eukaryota; Metazoa; Chordata; Mammalia; Primates; Tarsiidae
Description: Small nucleolar RNA U109 (ENSTSYG00000034677.1)
Rfam family: Small nucleolar RNA U109
Source: Rfam by way of RNAcentral
UUGCAUGUGGAAAUGUCUGCCCCUCUUUGGGAACAGGAAUACAUUCGUAAAGUGUUCCAUUAAAAAGGGAGUUCUCAGAACUACCAACCUUAUAGUAGAGGUUGGUGGUAUGUUUCUCCUACACAA